UACGUAGGUGGCAAGCGUUGUCCGGAUUUAUUGGGUUUAAAGGGUGCGUAGGCGGCCCUGUAAGUCAGUGCUGAAAUAUCCCGGCUUAACCGGGAGGGUGGCAUUGAUACUGCGAGGCUUGAGUAAAGUUGAGGUAGGCGGAAUUGACGGUGUAGCGGUGAAAUGCUUAGAUAUCGUCAAGAACACCGAUAGUGUAGACAGCUUACUAAGCUUUAACUGACGCUGAGGCACGAAAGUGUGGGGAUCAAACAGG
RNAcentral lists this ribosomal RNA (253 nucleotides) under uncultured bacterium. RNAcentral's name for it is "partial 16S ribosomal RNA". It matches the Rfam family "Bacterial small subunit ribosomal RNA", at positions 524 to 776 of the family's 1533-position model. The record is from RNAcentral.